Non-coding RNA from Cordylochernes scorpioides, 93 nucleotides. Lineage: Eukaryota; Metazoa; Arthropoda; Arachnida; Pseudoscorpiones; Chernetidae. The record is from the annotation of a GenBank genome assembly.
UCCAGGGUAGCCUAGUUGACAUGGCAUCUGCCUAGUUGACAUGGCAUCUGCCCGGUAAGCGGAACAGUGUGGGUUCGAUUCCCAUCCCUGGAC